GAGGGUGUAGCUCAGUGGUAGAGUGCAUGCCUAGCAGGCAUGAUAUCCUGAGUUCAAUCCCCAGUACCUCCA
This 72-nucleotide transfer RNA is filed under the name Camelus bactrianus (Bactrian camel). It matches the Rfam family "tRNA". Rfam says of the family: Transfer RNA (tRNA) molecules are approximately 80 nucleotides in length. Their secondary structure includes four short double-helical elements and three loops (D, anti-codon, and T loops). Lineage: Eukaryota; Metazoa; Chordata; Mammalia; Artiodactyla; Camelidae. The record is from Rfam by way of RNAcentral. RNAcentral also lists the same sequence under 2 other names.